RNAcentral lists this RNase P RNA (415 nucleotides) under Prolixibacteraceae bacterium. RNAcentral describes it as "RNase P RNA component class A". It matches the Rfam family "Bacterial RNase P class A". Rfam says of the family: Ribonuclease P (RNase P) is a ubiquitous endoribonuclease, found in archaea, bacteria and eukarya as well as chloroplasts and mitochondria. Its best characterised activity is the generation of mature 5'-ends of tRNAs by cleaving the 5'-leader elements of precursor-tRNAs. Lineage: Bacteria; Pseudomonadati; Bacteroidota; Bacteroidia; Marinilabiliales; Prolixibacteraceae. The record is from RNAcentral.
GCGGCAGGCCGCUUUAUCGUUCCCGACUUAAGUCGGGAGAGGAAAGUCCGGGCAACGCAGGGCACCGUGCUUCUUAACGGGAAGAUCUUUGAAAGGGGAUAGCAACGUAACAGAAAAUAACCAUCCCGAACCGACGUGUCGGAUCGGGAAACGGGUGAAAAGGUGCGGUAAAAGCGCACCGGUGAUUGUGGUAACACAGUUAGCCGUACGUCUCACGGGUUGCAAAACCAAAUAUAUCCUGAUUGUUUGCCGCUGUUGCGGUACAGCGGGGUUACCCGCCCCGUUUCUCUUCGCACAAGGAUGUCAGGAGGGGUAGGUUGCAGGAUUAAAACAGUAAUGUUUUGACUAGAUAAAUGAUAAAGGGUCCUGAUUACCAUCGGGAUUACAGAACCCGGCUUAUAGGCCUGCCAUUUUU